This 7804-nucleotide long non-coding RNA is filed under the name Lactuca sativa (garden lettuce). RNAcentral's name for it is "long non-coding RNA (LSAT_LNC002857)". The record is from RNAcentral. Lineage: Eukaryota; Viridiplantae; Streptophyta; Magnoliopsida; Asterales; Asteraceae.
CCAAGGUUAUAUUCCUAUCUAGCAUACAUGGGGAACAAUUUUAACUUGAAUGAAAGAUAAAAUAACUUACCUUGUUCUUGUUUAUGUUCCUUGAAACCUUGUGAGCCUAGCACCCCAAGUGUGAUGCCUCAAAUGCUUCACACAACAACAAAUGCUCUUGGAAAGACUUUUGAGAGAAUACACACUUCUUAAAAUCGGCCAAGCCCUCUAGUUUCUUAUGUGUAACCGAUUUUGGUGGAUAAUGGGACUCUUAUAUAGUGUUGACACAUCUAGGGUUACACCAUGUAAACCCUAAUGUGUCAUGACCCUUCAUUUCCAUGACCCAUGGGUUUGUAACUCCCAUGGAGCAUCCAUGGAGCAUCCUAUGGGUAGAACCCAACUUGAUAAUCCAUGGAGCGUCUUAGCCCACUAUACAAGAUAUGAAUGAUUUACAUAAUCAACCCAUAUAUUUAAUUAGUUAUCUUUUGAUCACUUAAUUAAUUCCAAAUUAAUUCUUUGAUCAAACUAAUCAAAUAAUAUUAUUAAUAUAUUAGAACUUAUAAUAUAUUAAUAAUCUCCAAGUGUUAUUCCUCUCAUUUAGUCUAUCCAAUUGCAUGGUGCCAUGCAACCCAAAUGGACCAUGCCGGGUCGGGUCAAGUACUAACCCGAAAUAGUUAUGGACUUAGACACCUUAUCCAACAGUCUCCCACUUGGAUAAGUCUAAUAACUAUAUCUCUAGUACUUCAGGAACCGACCGGCAAUCGUAGCUCUUUCAAGGUCUCUCGGAACUGAGAAGAUGAUGAUACGCCAUUUAAGAUAAGUGAUCAUAUAAUCCUCUGUUCUAGAUAUCAGCCGGACAAAUACAUGGAACAAUGUCUUACUUAUUGUCCAGCAGUUUGUUUCUCGAUUUCCGAUUUGUUUGACAAAGAACUUAAUUGAACACAUCAACUUAGUUCUGACCGGGCCCGGUACAUAGGUCAAAACAAAAUCAUCGAGGGGCCCAGAUAUCAGCUUCUAAUCCAAGAAGGAACAGAUAAACUUCGACUCAUAUGUUUGUUCUACCACUCAUUGAAUUACACACAAAAGUACGUUUUAUAACAUCGAGUUACCAAUGCGGUUUCGUACAGUCAAUGCAUAACCAACUUGUAAGUAACAAAUCAUAUCUCUAGGUUUGAAGACUUAUAUGAUAUUACCGUCUCACGAUCACUCGAGAUAGAAUUCCAUGAAGUGAUUCCAGUGAGCGUGGGUUGAGUCCAAUGCUCAGAACUUAUGAGCACUCAUGAUUGUUGUAGCCUUGUCCAACACCUUAGACCUCUACAACCAAUCAUGACAGUCUUGAUUCAUACCUACUUCCGACAUAUGACCGACUGUGGAGGUUUGAAUAAUAUGUUAUACCAAACAAAAUUAUUCUGGAAGUCAAAACAUGCAAAAGAAAUAUAGUAAACGAUCGACAAGAGAUAGCAACACUUUACUCAUAAAUAAAACACCUUUUAUUCAUCAUCUAAUGUCAAUUACACUUUACAAAUUUCUGGGUUAUCUAACUACUAAAACUUAUAUCAUCCUUCAGCCCUAUGCUCCGAGCAUGCUGGAGAUGCUUAACCCUACUCAGUCCCUUCGUGAGGGGAUCUGCUGGGUUCUCAUCCGAUGAUACCCUCUUUGCCACGAGGAGUCCUUCUUCGAUCCGAUGUCUAAUGAAAUGGUAUUUUCUGUCGAUGUGUCUGGAUCUCCCAUGAUCCCUUGGUUCCUUGGCUAAGGCAACAGCACUUUCACUAUCACAGAAAAUUUCCAUUGGCUCUUUAAUAGCUGGUACAACUCCAAGGUCUCCAAUGAAGUUCUUCAGCCAUAUCGCCUCCUUUGCUGCUUCACUAGCUGCAAUAUACUCUGAUUCACAAGUAGAAUCUGCCACUGUCUCUUGCUUGGAACUCUUCCAAGAAAUUGCUCCUCCGUUUAGGGUAAAGACCCAGCCCGACUGAGAGCGGAAAUUAUCCCUAUCAGUCUGGAAGCUAGCAUCACUAUACCCUACAACUCUCAAGUCAUCACUCCCACCGAGGGUAAGGACCCAGUCCUUAGUCCUCCGUAGGUACUUGAGGAUAUUCUUUACCGCAGUCCAGUGUGCCUUGCCAGGGUUCGCCUGAUACCUGCUAACCAUGCUCAAGGCAAAAGCUACAUCGGGUCGAGUACACGUCAUAGCAUACAUGAUCGAUCCUACAGCCGAAGCGUAAGGUGUUCGACUCAUUUCUGCUAUCUCAGCCUCAGUGCUAGGGCUUUGUGUCUUACUCAAUCUGGUGUUACUCUGGAUGGGUAACUCUCCUUUCUUGGAAUCCUGCAUGCUGAAUCUCUUCAGCACCUUAUCCAAGUAGGUACUCUGACUAAGUCCAAUUAGUCUUUUACUCCGAUCUCUCAAGAUUCUUAUCCCUAGAAUAUAGGCAGCUUCACCAAGGUCCUUCAUAGCGAAACACUUCCCAAGCCAGGACUUUACUUCCUGCAGGGUUGGAAUGUCGUUUCCUAUGAGUAGUAUGUCAUCCACAUACAAUACCAAAAAGCUAACUAUACUCCCACUAGCCUUGACAUACACACAAGAUUCAUCUUCACUCCUAGAAAAGCCAAAUUCCUUGACCUUUUCAUCAAAGCAAAGAUUCCAUCUGCGAGGUGCUUGCUUCAAUCCAUAAAUGGAUUUCUCAAGCUUACACACUCUAUUAGGGUACUCGUUGCUGACAAAACCCUCUGGCUGACUCAUGUAAACAUCUUCAGCCAACUUUCCAUUAAGGAAAGCGGUUUUGACAUCCAUCUGCCAUAUUUCAUAGUCAUGAAAUGCAGCUAUGGCUAACAGAACCCGAAUAGACUUAAUCUUGGCUACCGGAGAAAAGGUCUCAUCAUAAUCCACUCCAGGAAUUUGAGAGAAGCCCUUUGCAACCAGUCUAGCCUUAUAAGUGUGUACUUUACCAUCCAUGUCGGUCUUCUUCUUGAAGACCCAUUUGCACCCUACUGUCUUACGACCUGGUACAUUUUCAACCAAGUUCCAAACUUGAUUGUCAUACAUGGAUUGUAUCUCGCUAUCCAUAGCCUCUUUCCAUUUAGCAGACUCGGGGCCUGCCAUGGCUUCCUCGUAGCUGUUAGGGUCAUCUUGACUUACUAGUGUCUCAUCACUAAUAAGUGUCUCACCUUCUGCAGUAAUAUGGAAUCCAUAGUAAUGCUCAGGUGCACUCCUAACUCUCGUGGAACGUCUCAGAGGUACAGAUUUGUCAAUUGGCUCAACAGGAGUUUCCUCCUCAAGUUGAGGGCUAGAGUUUGAAGUUCCUUCACCGCUUGAUUCUUGAAUUUCUUCAAGAUCAAUUUGCCUCCCACUGUCUCCUUGGCUUAUAAACUCUCUUUCUCGAAAGACUCCUCUUCUUGCUACAAAGACCACAUUGUCACUAGGUCUGUAGAAGAGGUAACCAAAGGAUCGCUGUGGGUAACCGAUGAAAAUACACCUCUCGCUUCGAGGUUCGAGCUUAUCAUGAGUCUCGCGUCUCACGAAAGCCUCGCAACCCCAAAUCUUGAUGUGGUCUAGUUUAGGUACUUUACCAGUCCACAUCUCGUGAGGAGUUUUGGCAACUUUCUUUGUAGGGACUAGAUUAAGAAUAUGGGCGGCAGUCUCUAAGGCAUACCCCCAGAAUGAGAUUGGUAGCGUAGCUCGACUCAUCAUGGAACGAACCAUAUCUAACAAGGUUCGAUUACGCCUCUCAGCCACACCAUUCAACUGUGGUGUCCUGGGAGGUGUCAAUUGUGAGACUAUCCCACAUUCCCUUAGAUAGUCGAGGAACUCUGAACUAAGAUACUCACCACCACGAUCGGAUCGAAGCAUCUUAAUGUUCCUGCCCAAUUGAUUCUCGACUUCCUGUUUAAAUUCCUUAAACCUCUCGAAAGUCUCUGACUUAUGCUUGAUCAAGUAGACAUAUCCAUAUCUACUAUAAUCAUCAGUAAAAGUCAAAUAAUAACGAUUAGCAUCCCUUGUGGCAUGUUUGAAUGGUCCACACACAUCCGUGUGUAUAAGGUCCAACAAACCUUCACCCCUCUCACACGAACCUGUGAAGGGUGACUUUGUCAUUUUUCCAAGUAAGCAUGAUUCGCAACUAUCAUCUGACUUUAGGUCAAACGACUCCAAGACUCCAUCCUUUUGGAGUUGGCCUAUGCGUUUCUUGCUUAUAUGUCCAAGACGACAAUGCCAUAAAGAUGCUUUAUCCAAGUUAUUAUUAGUAGAAUCAAUACACAAAACAUUAUUUCCCAAGUUAUCUACAACAGAUACAGCUUCAUACACACCAUCACAAGGUAAUGCUUUAAAAUAAAAGACAUUAUUAUAGAAAACAUCUAUAGAACCAACUUCAUUAUUAAAUGAAAAGGUAAACCCUUGUUUGUACAAAGCAUGAAAGGAAAUAAUAUUUCUUGCCAUUCCUGGCGAAUAACAACACUUAUUCAAAUCUAAACUAAACCCACUACUUAGCGAUAAAGUAUAAACUCCAAUCUUGGUAACAGGUAUAGCUUUCCUAUUCCCCAUGAUCAAGUUUAUCCUUCCUUGCUCCACAUCCUCACUUCUUCUUAGUCCCUGCAAGUCACAACAAAUGUGAAUACCACACCCGGUAUCAAGGACCCAAGAAUUAGAAUGGGGUGAGUUAUUAGAAAUGAUAGUGUAAAUACCUGCAUGGUUGGGUUUAACUUUCCCAUCCUUCACAUCUUGCUGGUAUUUUGGGCAGUUCCGCUUCCAAUGAGCUUUUUCAUGGCAAUAGAAGCAUUCAGCCUCUUUUGGGUCAGAAGAAGGAGUAACGAAACCUUUCUUGGUUCCACUUGAAGAAGAGCCAUCAAGGGUCCGAGCCUUGGUACCCUUAGAAGAGCUCUUUCUCUUCCUCCCUCGACUUUUCCCGAUUGCCAAAACCGGAGUAGAGUUUUGAGUAGGAGUGAUAGCAACCGACUUCCCCUUAAGACCUGUUUCUGCGGUCUUGAGAAGUCCCUGAAGUUUGCUGAGGGUGACUUCUUCCUUGUUCAUGUGAUAUGUCAUGCGGAAUUGAUCAUAGCACGAUGGUAAGGAAUGCAAAAUAAUAUCUAUUGCAAGAUCCUCCGGGAAGUUCACAUUAAGCUUCAGCAAACGAUCCACAUACCUUUGCAUUUUCUGCAUGUGGCUCGUGACGGAUUCCCCGUCCUUCAUCAUGGUUGUUAUCAUGGAGCAGAUGAUUUCAUACCUCUCUUGUCUUGCACUUUGAUGGUAUCUUUCCAUCAAAUCUUGGUGCAUGUCAUAAGGGUAGAAAUCCUCAUAAGACUUUUGGAGUUCCGCUGUCAUCGUGGCCAUCAUGAUGCAAGCCACUUUCGUAGCAUCCCUUUCAUGUGCCCGAAAUUCAGCGAUCUCCUGAGGAGUUGCAGUGGACUCAUCAAUCUCCUUAAGCUCCUUGUCAAGGACAUAUUCUUUGUCCUCGUAGCGGGUAAUCAUCCUGAUGUUUCUGAUCCACUCAUUGAAGUUGGAUCCAUCAAAGGUGACUUUCCCACACAAGUUCAUAAGGGUAAAGGAGCCAUUAGGAUUAGAGCCAGAAGCAUUGUUGAAAGACAUCUGAAGGAAAGAGGACAAGAUUAGUUUAGAUAUAAGAGAGUCCUUAAUAAAACACCCAAAUGUAAUAUUAAGGCUAGGAUCCAAUCACAAUAUAAUAUAACUUAGAAGAGGUAUGCCGUAAUCUAAGCUAUAUCAUAUUUGAAAGGUAGGUGAAUGACGAUUCACCAAUUUCCACCACGAAAACCGCAAUAUUUUAGUAUUAGGUUUUUGAAUGGUUCUUAGAAAUUCCUAGAUUCUUUGAGAUUCAAUGAACUUUUCAAAGGCAUGUUUCAAUCUCGAGUGUGCCCUCCAAGUUUUGUGACUGGGAUACCGAGGAUCACAAAACGAGGUGUGAAGUAACCAUGCAAAUCACUUGGUACCCUUAAAGUUUAUCACUCAAUCGAUGUGCCGGUUAACCACACACGCUCCAUCGAUACUAUAAUAAACCCUAAGUCACCCUUUACCUACCUUGUUAAGUCCAAGUUAGUGUGCCGGUUAACCACACACGCUCCACCAACGACUUAAUCAAAGUGUAAAGUGUAAUUUCAUGGAAUAGCACCUUAUUCACAUUUUUCCUAAAGUAACUAAGAUUGGGAAUUUAAUAAAACAUUUAGUUACUUUAUAAUAUUCAUCAUACUUUGAAUGAGAAUUAAUAAGUCCUUGUCUUACCCGUUCGGCUAACGACCCUCCACCGAUCAAGCAAGCGGUGGGUGAGAGUGGACACCCAUUAAGUCACCAUUUUAUAGGCAACAACCUUAUACCCACCUUAUAGACCGGCUUCGUGAAUGAGGCGUACUAGCGGUAAGACGACUUUGUUCUUAUACAUAUAUAUAUAAUUAUUAAAUCAUAAUAAUAUAAGUAUAAGGGUUGAAUUUUAACUUUUAAAAUUCUAGGGGUUGGAACUAAAGUUUUAACUUAACUUUACUUGUUCCAAAACUUGAGGGCAAGUUUUGUAAACUUUCAAAACUUUUCAUUUCUUGUAACUUAUGAGUUUAAUAGAGUAAUAAAAUGAGGACUUUUCAUUUUUCCUAACUCUUGUGUUCUUUUAAUGGUUUUUAAUCCAAGAGACUUUUGGUUUUCCAUAACUUGAGGACAAGUUAUGGACUCCAUUAAAACACAUUAUGAUCAUGAAUUAAUCUACCACAUAGGUUACAAAUAAUUCCUAUGAUCAUCUAAACAUCAUAAGAACAAGAAUAUGAAUAUGAACACUUUCAAGAAUCAAAAUCACAUUUAAUCUUUGUAAUUUUGAUAACUAGUUGUUGUAAAUGAGUUAGAAAAGACAUUACACCUUCUAAAAUAAGUUUUCAAGUACCAAAACAUUUUAGGGUAAUGAUUCUAAUCCAUUUCCAGCAACUCAAGUCGAAAUUCUGCACUCUGUCGACCCUACUCGCCGAGUGCAUAAACCUACUCGCCGAGUAGGUUGAAGAUACACAUGAACUCGACGAGUCCUCCCCAUGGACUCGCCGAGUCCAUCAGUCAGACAGCAGAAUUUUCGACUUUCUUCAACUUUUAAGCACAAAUAACAAACAAACAAGCCUAGGCUCUGAUACCACUGAUGGGUUUUGAGCAUUCUAACACUUCCUAAGUGUACAUGCAACCCUAAUAACCUUGGAUCUAUGUUUGUCUAAUUAUCAUGCAAAGUUGAAUUCCAAGGUUAUAUUCCUAUCUAGCAUACAUGGGGAACAAUUUUAACUUGAAUCAUAGAUAGAAUAACUUACCUUGUUGUUGCUUGUGUUCCUUGAAACCUUGUGAGCCUAGCACCCCAAGUGUGAUGCCUCAAAUGCUUCACACAACACCAAAUGCUCUUGGAAAGACUCUUGAGAUAACACACACUUCUCAAAAUCGGCCAAGCCCUCUAGUUUCUUAGUGUUCAACUUGUGUAGCCAAUUUUGUGGAGAAUGGGACUCUUAUAUAGUGUUGGCACAUCUAGGGUUACACCAUGUAAACCCUAAUGUGUCAUGACUCUUCAUUUCCAUGACCCAUGGGUUUGUAACUCCCAUGGAGCAUCCAUGGAGCAUCCUAUGGGUAGAACCCAACUUGAUAAUCCAUGGAGCCUCUUAGCCCACUAUACAAGAUAUGAAUGAUUUACAUAAUCAACCCAUAUAUUUAAUUAGUUAUCCUUUGAUCACUUAAUUAAUUCUAAAUUAAUUCUUGAUCAAACUAAUCAAAUAAUAUUAUUAAUAUAUUAGAACUUAUAAUAUAUUAAUAAUCUCCAAGUGUUAUUACUCUCAUUUAGUCUAUCCAAUUGCAUGGUGCCAUGCAACCCAAAUG